GGACCUACGGGGCGCAGCAGUGGGGAAUAUUGCGCAAUGGGGGAAACCCUGAUGCAGCGACGCCGCGUGAGUGAAGAAGUAAUUCGUUAUGUAAAGCUCUAUCAGCAGGGAAGAAAAUGACGGUACCUGAGUAAGAAGCCCCGGCUAACUACGUGCCAGCAGCCGCGGUAAUACGUAGGGGGCAAGCGUUAUCCGGAUUUACUGGGUGUAAAGGUAGCGUAGACGGCAGGGCAAGUCUGGAGUGAGAGGCGGUG
RNAcentral lists this ribosomal RNA (254 nucleotides) under uncultured bacterium. RNAcentral describes it as "partial 16S ribosomal RNA". It matches the Rfam family "Bacterial small subunit ribosomal RNA", at positions 335 to 606 of the family's 1533-position model. The record is from RNAcentral.